UACGGAGGGGACUAGCGUUGUUCGGAAUUACUGGGCGUAAAGCGCACGUAGGCGGAUCUGUAAGUCAGGGGUGAAAUCCCGGGGCUCAACCUCGGAACUGCCUUUGAUACUGCGAAUCUCGAGUCCGGAAGAGGUGAGUGGAAUUCCUAGUGUAGAGGUGAAAUUCGUAGAUAUUAGGAAGAACACCAGUGGCGAAGGCGGCUCACUGGUCCGGUACUGACGCUGAGGUGCGAAAGCGUGGGGAGCAAACAGG
This 253-nucleotide ribosomal RNA is filed under the name uncultured bacterium. RNAcentral describes it as "partial 16S ribosomal RNA". It matches the Rfam family "Bacterial small subunit ribosomal RNA", at positions 524 to 776 of the family's 1533-position model. The record is from RNAcentral.